ACGAACGCUGGCGGCGUGCUUAACACAUGCAAGUCGAACGAAGAGCGAUGGAAGCUUGCUUCUAUCAAUCUUAGUGGCGAACGGGUGAGUAACGCGUAAUCAACCUGCCCUUCAGAGGGGGACAACAGUUGGAAACGACUGCUAAUACCGCAUACGAUCUAAUCUCGGCAUCGAGGAUAGAUGAAAGGUGGCCUCUACAUGUAAGCUAUCACUGAAGGAGGGGAUUGCGUCUGAUUAGCUAGUUGGAGGGGUAACGGCCCACCAAGGCGAUGAUCAGUAGCCGGUCUGAGAGGAUGACCGGCCACAUUGGGACUGAGACACGGCCCAGACUCCUACGGGAGGCAGCAGUGGGGAAUCUUCCGCAAUGGACGAAAGUCUGACGGAGCAACGCCGCGUGAGCGAUGACGGCCUUCGGGUUGUAAAGCUCUGUUAAUCGGGACGAAAGGCCUUCUUGCGAAUAGUGAGAAGGAUUGACGGUACCGGAAUAGAAAGCCACGGCUAACUACGUG
RNAcentral lists this ribosomal RNA (509 nucleotides) under uncultured bacterium. Its description in RNAcentral is "partial 16S ribosomal RNA". It matches the Rfam family "Bacterial small subunit ribosomal RNA", at positions 29 to 507 of the family's 1533-position model. The record is from RNAcentral.